Molecule: long non-coding RNA, 3015 nt
Filed under: Equus asinus (donkey)
Lineage: Eukaryota; Metazoa; Chordata; Mammalia; Perissodactyla; Equidae
Description: lncRNA (ENSEASG00005037966.1)
Source: RNAcentral
AUUAAUACAUAAUAUGAUGCAUUAUAUGCUUUAUAUGUAUGUCUUGUGUAUUAAUAUAUAAUAAGCACAUGUAUUCUAUACUAAUACAUAUCUGUUAAAUGAACAAACUGAAUGAUGAUCAAAGAGCUUAAGGUGAAGUGAUUUAAGGACUCACAGCUUGUAAGUGGAGACUUCCUGGCACCAAGUACAGAGUGCUUUCUAUUAGUCUGUGCAGCCCCACGUUUCUAGGGUAGUCCAAAAGGAGAAAGGGAAAGGAGAUGUCUCUAAAAAGCUGAAGUUGAAUAAACUGAGACUCAGAGGGUAGCUAAAUUGCCUGGGAUUACCCAGCUAGGUGGAGCCAACAGUUGAACCCAAGUCAAGAGUUUUCAGGACCAGUCAUUGCAUUUUCCAGUUUGGCUCCAAGGCAAGGGUGGUAUCUUAUUUAUUCAUCUUUGUUUUUCCUACCCCUCCCUGCUGGCCCCAGAUCUCCAAAAUUUAGUCUAGUUUGGGGGGUUGAAAAAGUCAGACAUGACCUCGCCAUUUUUUUUUUCACCAGCAGGCUCUGGAAACGGCUUUAGGAGCUGGCAGAAUAAGUGCUCUUUGAGGCCAGAAGCCAUUUUCUCCCCUUCUGAGUGCAUUCUUUUUUCCUGUCCCAUCGCUGGGAGAAGAAUUUUGCCCAUGGGAGCUGUCUCAGGUGCCGACAGACCGCUCCCCCUGAACUUUGCAUGCCUCCCCAGCACAUUCCUGCAUCUAAAUCAGAACUGGUCAAUGUUUCACUCUCCCUGCUGCCCUCCCAGCCAUAUCUUCUGAAAGCUGGUGAACAAUUAACCUACAGCAGCUCCUUCUCCUCCCUUGGCUCUUGAUCUCUCCUCAGAAGCCUCCCAACACUUCACUUCUGGGUGUCAAUGAUCUACCAAACCUGACAGGCAGCCAGGGUUCCUCUCCAGUCUUCAAGGAACCUCUUAUAUACAUUUUUACAAUGUUUCUGAUGAUUUAUGACUCUUCCAAUCAAGGAAAUACAUCUCAGAAGACAACUUAGCCAAAGCACCUAAAGCAACUCUUGUUUUUCUGUUGGACAUUGUUACAAAGAAUCAGAGAAGAGGGCUGAAGAUUCUAGUCUAGCUCUGCCACGUACUAGCCAACUGACCUCAGCCAAAUCCCUUGAAUUAUCCAGGUCUUCUCUUUUUCAUUUAUAAAAUGAGGAGCCAUUCUUUCCUCUUGUGUUUAUUACAGAGAUUAAACGACAAUGUAUAUAAAACUUUAACCCACAGUAGCAAUUUAAUAAGUUCAUACUUAAGAAAUUGUAGCCUGAAGUUCAUAAAAUCAUAAAAUGCUGGAAUUGGAAAGCACUUGAUGGAGCUUGUACAUCUUUUACAAGUGAGGCAGCCCAGAGAGAGAAGUCUGGGAUAUAUUCAAUGAUCUUUCAGCCAAUAAGUGGGCUAUAGUCUAGCUCAGCUCUGUCUAGUAGAAAUGCAAUAUAUAAGCCAUACAUAUCAUUUAAAAGUUUCUAGUAAUCGCAUUAGAAAAGUAGAAGGAAACAGGAGAAAUUAAUAUAUUUUAUUUAACUCAUUGUAUGUGAUGUAUCAUUUCAUGCAAUCAAUAUAAAAUUAUUAACGAAAUAUUUUAUAUUUUUUGCACUAAAUCCUCAAAACCUUGUGUGUAUUUUACACUUACAGCACAAUCAACUCAGACUAGCCACAUUUCAGGUGCUUAGUAGUUACACAUAAGUAGUGGCUAUGAUAUUGGACAGUGCGGGUCUAGGUCAAUUCAAGUCAGCAAACACUUUGUGCACCUGUCCUAUGCCAGGCAUCCUGUUAGAUGCAGGGAUAUGAAGGUGAACAAACAUCGCAGGAGACUAGGUGGACGGCCUUGGAAACCAAAGCCAUCCUCCAAGGCUGGGAGUCCCUCCCCCUCUGUGCUGCUGGAUUACUCAUCAUAUGGACGAGUUUGGAUGAACAAGUCAAGAAGAAAAUCCUCCUGGGAAAAUAUCUAUAUCCCCAGGCAUUCUCCUCUGCUCGGGUAUCCAGAGAUAGAAGAAAGCAUUUAUUUGUACUGAGCUCCUAUUCUGUCCCAGGCAUUGGCUAUGCACUCGACGGGUAUUGUCUGAUUUAUUCCUCGUAGUGACUGUGUGGUGACAUUAUUUUGCCCAUUUUAAAGUAGAGGAAAUAAAGGCUCAGAGAAGUUAAGUAAUUUGUCCAAGGGUCACACAGUUUAUCUGAGGUGCAGAUGGGACUCAGUCUCAGAAAGCAGGCAUGUUUAACUCUGUCAAUGUUGCCCCGUGGAGAUGUGAGAGAGAUUAAUGUUCUUUGGCCAUGACUGUUUUGGCCUAUUUAUAAACAUUCCCAAAGCUUCCUGAAUAAAGUGACUGGAGAUUUAUUUUAAUAAUAACUUCCCAUCCCAGGUAACGAAAUUUCCACUGCCUGAAGGCUUUUGCUACAAAGAAAGAGAUGAGGAUGUUUCGUUUUUGGUUCCUUGGCUGCUGGGAGCCAUUCUGUGCCUGAGAGACCUCAAGUUGAAAUGGACCUCAGCCUCAAGUUCACCUUGUUUCUUUAAACUGAGCAUAUUUCCCACAGCUUUCCUUUGCCUGGGUGCUGAGGGGCCAGGUCAGUAGGGGCUUUCCCUUUCCCAUAGGCUGGGCCACUCUGCUUCCAGCUCCUGCUCCUGGUUAUUUGGGAAUUGUGGGUGUUGGUAAAAAGCCCCCAGAAUGUGAAUACUUGCCAAGCUGGAACUUGAUCUGCUGAGCUACAGUAUUUCCUGAAAGAAUAUCAACUGCCAUGAGGACCACAGAUAAAGAAGUUUGUGAACCUGGAAUAAUCAAGGAAAAUGAAAGGUUCUGAUCAAGACCAUCAGUGUGAUUUCAUGGGCAAAUCUCCCACGUGAGGAGAGCAGACGGUAUGUGUGUAUGGGGAACCAGUUCCCAGAAAAGGGUGAUACUUUGCCUCAAGAAACUAUUCGAAUUAGAUCACAUCCUGAGACAUAGAGCACAUGACACCCUAUGAGGUUUGCUUUGCUGAACUUCAACUGGAUUGACUGAAG